AGUGAACGCUGGCGGUAGGCCUAACACAUGCAAGUCGAACGGCAGCACAGUAAGAGCUUGCUCUUACGGGUGGCGAGUGGCGGACGGGUGAGGAAUACAUCGGAAUCUACUUUUUCGUGGGGGAUAGGGAAGGAAAGGUUAACUCAUAACGCAUACUACCUACGGGUGGAAGGCGGGGGACCUUGGACCGUUGGCGGAUGGAUGAGCCGAUGUUGGGUUUGCUAGUUGGCGGGGUAAAGGCCCAACCAGGCGAGGAUUCGUGGCUGGUCUGAGAGGAUGAUCAGCCACACUGGAACUGAGACACGGUCCAGACUCCUACGGGAGGCAGCAGAGGGGAAUAUUGGACAAUGGUGGCAAGCAUGAUCCAGCGAUACCGCGUGGGUGAAGAAGGCCUUCGGUUUGUAAAGCCCUUUUGUUGGGAAAGAAAAGCAGCAGGUUAAUACGCCGCUGUUCUGACGGUACCCAAAGAAGAAGCACCGGCUAACUUCGUG
RNAcentral lists this ribosomal RNA (491 nucleotides) under uncultured bacterium. RNAcentral describes it as "partial 16S ribosomal RNA". It matches the Rfam family "Bacterial small subunit ribosomal RNA", at positions 29 to 507 of the family's 1533-position model. The record is from RNAcentral.